RNAcentral lists this long non-coding RNA (1479 nucleotides) under Sus scrofa (pig). RNAcentral describes it as "lncRNA (ENSSSCG00040019175.1)". Lineage: Eukaryota; Metazoa; Chordata; Mammalia; Artiodactyla; Suidae. The record is from RNAcentral.
GGAAGAGCUGCCCUGUGAAACUGUGCUGGCCUUGGCCGUGUAUUCCCAAGGAUCAAGAAGCUGCCUCGGUUCUUGUGCUUGAGCUCAGUGCUGUGUAGCUUUGUGAAGAUAUUUCCAGAUUGAGACUUUUUUGAAUUUGGCUUUUUUUUUUUCCACAAAAGGAAAGUUCUUCCUGUGGACUCUGAUUUUUUUUUUUUUUUUUGUAAAUGACAUGACAAUCUACUCUUCUCCUGAUACAAAUUGAUUGCAAUAGACUUCACACAGUUUGUACUUUCUCUUAAAUUCAGAAGAGAACUGUUUUCAAGGAACUUUUUUCCUAUCUUUUUUUAAUAAAACACAAAGAUAAAACUAUUUCAAUAGCAGAUAAUCUCAUAAUGAGAGGAUUCCUGGUUAGCCCAAAUGAGGCCAAUCCUGAGAUUCUUUUUUUUUUUUUUUUUUUUCCUGGGAACCUCCAUAUGCCGCAGGNCGAGCCCCGAAAAAGGCAAAAAAAAAAAAAAAAAAAAAAAAAAGAGUAAUAACUUAAUUCUGGUCACUUGCUAAUUUUUUUGGUUUGGGAAAAAACUCUAGAAAUAGAUGAAGUGCCCAUAGUUUGAAUCAAAUGACCCUUAGAGGUUGUUGGUUUGGGUAUGGGCCCCUGUUCCAAAUCAAGCUAUAGGUCACUGGUCCUGUGACACAGCCUGAUUGAAAGUUGAUUAGACAGAUGUAGAGAAAGAGUUAACCUCUGAGAGAAUGCCAUGGAGUAGGAGAUGGCCAUGAAGGAUUAUGGAAAGCACAGAAUUUAUAAUGAAACCAACUGUGGGUGCGGGUGAAGACAUUACAAGAGAAAGAGGAAAAUAUGUAGAAUGUGAAGAGUAGGAGUGUUCUGGAAGAAUCCAGGACAAAAUACAGUUUCUACUCCAGGGAACAGGCAUAUGAGGACCAGCUGGACAGUAGUAUUAAUGCAGAAAAGCAGAAUCAAUGCCUGGGAGCACUAUGGGCUGGAACCUCGAAACUUCCCUACCUCCUUUCAUCGCCUGAUCUAUUCCUCACCUUUUUUCAAAGCUCCUGGUUCUUCUAUCGCAGAAAUUCCUCUUGUCGCUAGACAUUUGCUCACACUGGUCCUUCUUCUUCAAUUAAUCCCUGUUUCCCAUUCCCCUCUCCCCUUCACUGUCCCCGCAUUCCCUUUGCGGCCAGCUCUUACUCAUUCAGCAAGUCUCACUCAAGAUUUCUUUUUUUCUGGGGUUCCCGUCGUGGUGCAGUGGAAACGAGUCCCACUGGGAACCAUGAGGAUGUGGGUUUCAUCCCUGGCCUCGCUCAGUGGGUUAAGGAUUUGGCGUUCCCGUGAACUGUGGUGUAGGCCACAGAUGCGGCUCAGAUGCUGUGUUGCUGUGGUUGUGGGGUCGGCCAGCAGCCGCAGCUCCGAUUUGACCCCUAGCCUGGGAACCUCCAUAUGCCACAAGUGCGGCCCUAAAAAAGCCAAAAAAAAAAAAAAAAGAAAAA